AUUGAACGCUGGCGGCAUGCCUUACACAUGCAAGUCGAACGGAUUUGAGGGGCUUGCUCCUCAAGUUAGUGGCGAACGGGUGAGUAAAGCAUCGGAACGUACCCAGUAGUGGGGGAUAACGUAGCGAAAGUUACGCUAAUACCGCAUACGACCUGAGGGUGAAAGCAGGGGAUCGCAAGACCUUGCGCUAUUGGAGCGGCCGAUGUCGGAUUAGCUAGUUGGUAGGGUAAAAGCCUACCAAGGCGACGAUCCGUAGCUGGUCUGAGAGGACGACCAUCCCAACUGGGACUGAGACACGGCCGAGACUCCGAAGGGAGGCAGCAGUGGGUAAUUUUGGACAAUGGGCGAAAGCCUGAUCCAGCCAUGCCGCGUGAGUGAAGAAGGCCUUCGGGUUGUAAAGCUCUUUCAGACGGAAAGAAAUCUUCUGGGCUAAUACCCCGGGAGGAUGACGGUACCGUAAGAAGAAGCACCGGCUAACUACGUGCCAGCCGCCGCCGUAA
This 500-nucleotide ribosomal RNA is filed under the name uncultured bacterium. Its description in RNAcentral is "partial 16S ribosomal RNA". It matches the Rfam family "Bacterial small subunit ribosomal RNA", at positions 30 to 523 of the family's 1533-position model. The record is from RNAcentral.